Molecule: ribosomal RNA, 250 nt
Filed under: uncultured prokaryote
Description: partial 16S ribosomal RNA
Rfam family: Bacterial small subunit ribosomal RNA
Source: RNAcentral
UACGUAGGGAGCGAGCGUUGUCCGGAAUUACUGGAUGUAAAGGGAGCGUAGGCGGGAUGGCAAGUCAGAUGUGAAAACUAUGGGCUUAACCCAUAGACUGCAUUUGAAACUGUUGUUCUUGAGUGAAGUAGAGGUAAGCGGAAUUCCUGGUGUAGCGGUGAAAUGCGUAGAUAUCAGGAGGAACACCGGUGGCGAAGGCGGCUUACUGGGCUUUUACUGACGCUGAGGCUCGAAAGCGUGGUUAGCAAAC